Molecule: ribosomal RNA, 253 nt
Filed under: uncultured bacterium
Lineage: Bacteria
Description: partial 16S ribosomal RNA
Rfam family: Bacterial small subunit ribosomal RNA
Source: RNAcentral
UACGUAGGGGGCAAGCGUUGUCCGGAUUUAUUGGGCGUAAAGAGCGUGUAGGCGGCCUGACAGGUCUGCUGUGAAAACUCGAGGCUCAACCUCGAGAUGUCGGCGGAAACCGUCUGGCUAGAGUCCGGAAGAGGAGAGUGGAAUUCCUGGUGUAGCGGUGAAAUGCGCAGAUAUCAGGAGGAACACCGAUGGCGAAGGCAGGUCUCUGGGCCACUACUGACGCUGAGAAGCGAAAGCAUGGGGAGCGAACAGG